UGGGCAACCUGCCCUGUACUGUGGAAUAAUCAUUGGAAACGAUGACUAAUACCGCAUGUGGUCCUCGGAAGGCAUCUUCUGAGGAAGAAAGGAUUUAUUCGGUACAGGAUGGGCCCGCAUCUGAUUAGCUAGUUGGUGAGAUAACAGCCCACCAAGGCGACGAUCAGUAGCCGACCUGAGAGGGUGAUCGGCCACAUUGGGACUGAGACACGGCCCAA
Molecule: ribosomal RNA, 218 nt
Filed under: uncultured bacterium
Lineage: Bacteria
Description: partial 16S ribosomal RNA
Rfam family: Bacterial small subunit ribosomal RNA
Source: RNAcentral